GCUGAGUGUGGUGGCACAUGCCUGUAAUCCCAGCACUUUUGGAGGCUGAGGCAGGAGGAUGGCAAGUUUGAGGCCAGCCUCAGCAACUUACCAAAGCCCUCAGCAACUUAGUGAGACUCUGUCUCUA
RNAcentral lists this small RNA (127 nucleotides) under Marmota monax (woodchuck). Lineage: Eukaryota; Metazoa; Chordata; Mammalia; Rodentia; Sciuridae. The record is from RNAcentral.